Molecule: ribosomal RNA, 490 nt
Filed under: uncultured bacterium
Lineage: Bacteria
Description: partial 16S ribosomal RNA
Rfam family: Bacterial small subunit ribosomal RNA
Source: RNAcentral
AUUGAACGCUGGCGGCAGGCCUAACACAUGCAAGUCGAACGGUAACAGGAAGCAGCUUGCUGCUUUGCUGACGAGUGGCGGGCGGGUGAGAAAUGUCUGGGAAACUGCCUGAUGGAGGGGGAUAACUACUGGAAACGGUAGCUAAUACCGCAUAACGUCUCAAGACCAAAGAGGGGGACCUUAGGGCCUCUUUCCAUCGGAUGUGCCCAGAUGGGAUUAGCUAGUAGGUGGGGUAACGGCUCACCUAGGCGACGAUCCGUAGCUGGUCUGAGAGGAUGAUCAGCCACACUGGAACUGAGACACGGUCCAGACUCCUACGGGAGGCAGCAGUAGGGAAUAUUGCACAAUGGGCGAAAGCCUGAUGCAGCAAUGCCGCGUGUAUGAAGAAGGCCUUCGGGUUGUAAAGUACUUUUAGCGGGGAGGAAGGGAGUAAUGUUAAUACCUUCACUCAUUGACGUUACCCGCAGAAGAAGCACCGGCUAACUCCGUG